This 494-nucleotide ribosomal RNA is filed under the name uncultured bacterium. Its description in RNAcentral is "partial 16S ribosomal RNA". It matches the Rfam family "Bacterial small subunit ribosomal RNA", at positions 30 to 507 of the family's 1533-position model. The record is from RNAcentral.
AUUGAACGCUGGCGGCAUGCUUUACACAUGCAAGUCGAACGGCAGCGGGGAGGAGCUUGCUUCUCUGCCGGCGAGUGGCGAACGGGUGAGUAAUACAUCGGAACGUGUCGAGAAGAGGGGGAUAACCACCCGAAAGGGUGGCUAAUACCGCAUAAAUUCUGAGGAAGAAAGCUGGGGACCUAGGAAUAGGCCUAGCGCUUUUUGAGCGGCCGAUGUCGGAUUAGCUAGUUGGUGAGGUAAAGGCUCACCAAGGCGAAGAUCUGUAGCGGGUCUGAGAGGAUGAUCCGCCACACUGGGACUGAGACACGGCCCAGACUCCUACGGGAGGCAGCAGUGGGGAAUUUUGGACAAUGGGAGCAACCCUGAUCCAGCCAUGCCGCGUGUAUGAAGAAGGCCUUAGGGUUGUAAAGUACUUUUGUUAGGGAAGAAAAGUCAGCUGUGAAUAAUGGCUGAUACUGACGGUACCUAAAGAAUAAGCACCGGCUAACUACGUG